GACGAACGCUGGCGGCGUGCCUAAUACAUGCAAGUUGAGCGCUGAAGGUUGGUACUUGUACCGACUGGAUGAGCAGCGAACGGGUGAGUAACGCGUGGGGAAUCUGCCUUUGAGCGGGGGACAACAUUUGGAAACGAAUGCUAAUACCGCAUAAAAACUUUAAACACAAGUUUUAAGUUUGAAAGAUGCAAUUGCAUCACUCAAAGAUGAUCCCGCGUUGUAUUAGCUAGUUGGUGAGGUAAAGGCUCACCAAGGCGAUGAUACAUAGCCGACCUGAGAGGGGGGUCGGCCACAUUGGGACUGAGACACGGCCCAAACUCCUACGGGAGGCAGCAGUAGGGAAUCUUCGGCAAUGGACGAAAGUCUGACCUAGCAACGCCGCGUGAGUGAAGAAGGUUUUCGGAUCGUAAAACUCUGUUGGUAGAGAGGAACGUUGGUGAGAGUGGAAAGCUCAUCAAGUGACGGUAACUACCCAGAAAGGGACGGCUAACUACGUGCCAGCCGCCGCCGUAA
This 513-nucleotide ribosomal RNA is filed under the name uncultured bacterium. RNAcentral describes it as "partial 16S ribosomal RNA". It matches the Rfam family "Bacterial small subunit ribosomal RNA", at positions 28 to 523 of the family's 1533-position model. The record is from RNAcentral.